Brassica rapa (field mustard) is the source of this 2796-nucleotide long non-coding RNA. RefSeq lists it as uncharacterized. NCBI's taxonomy places the organism in Eukaryota, Viridiplantae, Streptophyta, Magnoliopsida, Brassicales, Brassicaceae. The record is from RefSeq and is a predicted model, not a curated record.
GUCUAUUCUCGAACUUCUCGUAUACGGCUUAGGACCUCGAAUAAGUAUAACUUAUUUCUAAUAUGUUCUAUCUGCUUGAAAUCGAGUCAGUCAUUGCUUGUUUAGUUAUUAGGUUCUUUGCUUAAAUCGAAAUUAGGUGGUUAGAGGAUUCAACAUCGAUUGUUUCACUUAAUGUAAAUGCUUAGCUAGGAUUGUUUUUGUGUGGAGACGGAUACAGAGACAGACUUAUGUAUGCCGGAUCGUAUGAGGUUAUGGCCAACUAUAGUCGACCGGUUGAGCUGUAGCCUGGAAGGAUCGAUAAAUCGUCCAUGGGCGGUGUCCGAGCACUAUCUCGAGCUGUGUUAUGUUUUUGGCCUUUUAGUGGGCAGCGAGUGCGCGCCUCGCUAGAACAAUUUUUUGUUGUUUGGAUACUUUAGGUGCCGUGUUUGACAUGUAUUAGAAUUAAAUUAUAUUUAUUUGGAGUGCUAUGUCCGGGUCCAUGGACUUUAGGGUAGCAUCUCAUACCUCAUUGGGUGAUUACCCUGUCGCUCACCCCUCACUCUGACCGAUGAGCAGGGGUGAUUAUCGGACUGGUGCUAUUGGGCUUUUGGGCUUCUAUCGCUUUUAUCGCUUUUACCGUUAUCGGGCUUUUAGGCCUUUGGACUUGGUGGCAACCACCAUUAAGUUUUGAUUCAUGGAAGCCUGUCCAAUUUUGGUCAAUGAACUUGCAAUAGAAGCAGACUUUGACUUAAGAGAGAAAUUAAUAGAGAGAAAAGAUAGGAACUAACUUUUACCUACAGAUCCAGAUACUUGUUUGAAAAUCCUUGCAUCCUGUGAUCGGUACUCCCAAGGUAAAGCUUGCACUUUUAUUUAUGUUAAGAAAUGAGGGUGGUAGAGGGGAAUGUCAGACAUGAUUUGCUAAGUUGUUGGCUAGGUGAAUUUGGUUGCUAAGCUAAGAUAUGGUAUAAUGUGCUUUUGUGAUUAGGACUUCUUAGAUAUGGAUUGCAAUAUUGUAGAGGUGAUGAUUCUAAGUUUUAAAUCAUGUGAGUCCCUGCUGUUUUCAAACCUCUUUCAGAGAGACUGUCCGUGUGUUUUGCUUGAGGACAAGCAAAAAGGUAAGUCUGAGGAGUUUGAUAGACCAUGGAUUUUACCCACUUUCAGUUAUAGUCUAUAAGUGUUUUAAUAUAUAUUUACUACUAUAUGGAGUCUAUUUAGAGUACUUACAGGUUCAUGUACGUUCUAGAUAAAUAUGGUGAUUUUAGAGCGUUUUGAGGUGUAGAACUGCACAGGCGCGUCAGAUGUCUAGCUAUGGUUGGAGACCUUUCAACUGUUAGAUUUAACCCAUAUUUUGACACAAUAUAGAGUUUUGAGUAAGAUUUCCAAUUCCCACUGGUUUGAGGUCCAUCAGCAUCCUGUAGCAGAAGUUAUGAUCGUUUUACUGAACAGCGGUCAGUCUGCCUCGCAAGAAGAAGCUGUCGAGGAGAUGAAGGAAUGUCAAUUGAUAACACAGCAUUGGUGUCGAUUGACAGUGAUUCCAGCAUAUGGGCUGAGCAUAUUUUAUGACCAUUGAAGCCCAGAAACAACCCCAAAUUACCAGAAUACCCUUGGCCGACCAGAAAUCCUAUUUAUGUUAUUUAUAAGCAAUUGUUGACGGCUACACGCUCUUUAAGCUUUCUUUGAUUCUUGGUAUAGGUUAAGAGUGAAAGGAGGAACUCCUUCUGAGUCCUCCAGGAACUACAUUGGUUUUUGUUUUAUAUUAUUUAUGCUUUUCAUCUAUUCAUCUAUGAUUUCUGUGACAAACUUCAUGUCUGAAUAGAUCUUCCUGUUAGGUUUAGGGUUCAAAUAGGUUAUGAAGGAUUAGUCCAAAAUAUAGAACUGCUAAGUUAUGAUAUUCAUCAUAGGAUUGUUCUUACUGCUUGUGUUCUAGAUUCAUGAACUAGAACCCUGAUCUUAGAAUCUUUAGGCACAAUUGCGAAUGCUUGUUCUUUUCUCUGAACUGAAUUCUAUUGAGCUAGGAUUGCUAGAAAUAUAGGAGAGUUGAUUUAGGAACCCUAGUGAACACAUAUUCAACCCGAUCGCAAAGCUUGCUAGAAGCGAAAUCGAUCGAUAAUCCAAUAGAUUAAUCGAUCGAUAUUUUGAAAGGUGUAUCGAUCGAUAAUCCUAUAGAAUAAUCGAUCGACACUUUCUUGUGAUUAGUAAACGAGAGUUGAGAUCCAAGAUCUGGAUAUUAGACUGUCUAUACAAUGGAAGUUGUUAGAUUUGUACUCCUAGUUGAGUUCUAUAAUAUCUUGCAAGCAUAAUUAGCCUCUAUAUCAUUAUAAUCCUCAUUACCUGAAUAGAAACCCUAGAUCUAGCAACCAUCCUUCCAUGAAACAACUCUUUGCCAAGCUGAACAAUUGUCUUGUUCAACUUGUUUACUGCUUUAUUUACUGCUUUGCUAUAUUUAUUUACUGUUUUAUAAACUAUUAGCCUAGCUUAAUCAUAUAACUUUUAGAUCUAGUUGGUUCCCUAGCUUCCUGUGAAUUCAAUCUCUAAGUACUACAACUCGACCUCUUAUUUGAGAAAGUAUAAAUCACUCCUUAGGGUAAUUUGAGUGAUAUCACGUCUUCUCAGCUCCCAUGAGAUGAAUCAAACUUUGAACAACGGUAUUCGAAGAAUCACUCAUAGAAAAACCUGCAACAAUAUGAAUGCUAGUUAAUUUACCUGAGGACACCAAAGGAAAACUAAACAAAAAGCGCUGCAUAACUAUCGACGAAUAUGACCCAUUCGAAAGGGAUGAGCCUAAAGUUAAAGCUCCCAACUAAGGCAUUGUUAACU